Molecule: ribosomal RNA, 253 nt
Filed under: uncultured bacterium
Lineage: Bacteria
Description: partial 16S ribosomal RNA
Rfam family: Bacterial small subunit ribosomal RNA
Source: RNAcentral
UACGAAGGGGGCAAGCGUUACUCGGAAUCAUUGGGCGUAAAGCGUGCGUAGGCUGUUUUACAAGUUACAAGUGAAAUCCAUUAGCUCAACUAAUGAACUGCUUGUAAAACUGUAAAGCUAGAGUGUCAGAGAGGAUAGAAAAAUUCUUAAUGUAGGGGUGAAAUCCGUAGAUAUUAAGAGGAAUACCAAAGGCGAAAGCAUCUAUCUAGCUGAAUACUGACGCUGAGGUACGAAAGCGUGGGGAGCAAACAGG